Molecule: ribosomal RNA, 441 nt
Filed under: uncultured Anaerolineaceae bacterium
Lineage: Bacteria; Bacillati; Chloroflexota; Anaerolineae; Anaerolineales; Anaerolineaceae
Description: bacterial SSU rRNA
Rfam family: Bacterial small subunit ribosomal RNA
Source: RNAcentral
GCACAAGCAGCGGAGCGUGUGGUUUAAUUCGAUGCUACGCGAAGAACUUACCCGGGUUUGCAUACAGGUAGUAGGGAACUGAAAGGGGACCGACCCUUCGGGGAGCCUGAACAGGUGCUGCAUGGCUGUCGUCAGCUCGUGUCGUGAGAUGUCCGGUUAAGUCCGGUAACGAGCGCAACCCUUGCCGUAUGUUACAAGUGUCAUACGGGACUGCCGGUAUCAAGCCGGAGGAAGUGGGAUGACGUCAAGUCAGCAUGGCCUUUAUAUCCGGGGCUACACACACGCUACAAUGGUCAGUACAAUAGGUUGCAAAGCCGCGAGGUGGAGCCAAUCCAUAAAGCUGGCCUCAGUUCAGAUCGUAGUCUGCAACUCGACUACGUGAAGUCGGAAUCGCUAGUAAUCGUGGAUCAGAAUGUCACGGUGAAUACGUUCCCGGGUCUU